This 489-nucleotide ribosomal RNA is filed under the name uncultured bacterium. RNAcentral's name for it is "bacterial SSU rRNA". It matches the Rfam family "Bacterial small subunit ribosomal RNA", at positions 28 to 507 of the family's 1533-position model. The record is from RNAcentral.
GAUGAACGCUAGCGGCAGGCCUAACACAUGCAAGUCGAGGGGUAACAGGGAAAAGCUUGCUUUUCCGCUGACGACCGGCGCACGGGUGAGUAACGCGUAUGCAACCUACCUUAUACAGGAGUAUAGCCCGAAGAAAUUCGGAUUAAUCCUCCAUAGUAUUUUCUAAUGGCAUCAUUUGGAAAAUUAAAGCUUCGGCGGUAUAAGAUGGGCAUGCGUCCUAUUAGCUAGAUGGUAAGGUAACGGCUUACCAUGGCAACGAUAGGUAGGGGGCCUGAGAGGGUGAUCCCCCACACUGGUACUGAGACACGGACCAGACUCCUACGGGAGGCAGCAGUGAGGAAUAUUGGGCAAUGGGGGCAACCCUGAUCCAGCCAUGCCGCGUGCAGGAAGACUGCCCUAUGGGUUGUAAACUGCUUUUAUACAGGAAGAAACUGUGCUACGUGUAGCGCACUGACGGUACUGUAAGAAUAAGGAUCGGCUAACUCCGUG